UACGUAGGGGGCUAGCGUUGUCCGGAAUCAUUGGGCGUAAAGCGCGUGUAGGCGGCCCGGUAAGUCCGCUGUGAAAGUCGGGGGCUCAACCCUCGGAUGCCGGUGGAUACUGUCGGGCUCGAGUACGGAAGAGGCGAGUGGAAUUCCUGGUGUAGCGGUGAAAUGCGCAGAUAUCAGGAGGAACACCGAUUGCGAAGGCAGCUCGCUGGGACGUGACUGACGCUGAGACGCAAAAGCGUGGGGAGCAAACAGG
RNAcentral lists this ribosomal RNA (253 nucleotides) under uncultured bacterium. Its description in RNAcentral is "partial 16S ribosomal RNA". It matches the Rfam family "Bacterial small subunit ribosomal RNA", at positions 524 to 776 of the family's 1533-position model. The record is from RNAcentral.